UACAGAGGGUGCAAGCGUUGUUCGGAAUUAUUGGGCGUAAAGGGCGCGUAGGCGGUGCUGUAAGUCUGUAGUGAAAUCUCUGGGCUCAACUCAGAGUCUGCUAUAGAAACUGCAGUGCUGGAGUGUGGGAGAGGUGUGUGGAACUCCGAGUGUAGAGGUGAAAUUCGUAGAUAUUCGGAAGAACACCAGUGGCGAAGGCGACACACUGGCUCACUACUGACGCUGAGGCGCGAAAGCGUGGGGAGCAAACAGG
This 253-nucleotide ribosomal RNA is filed under the name uncultured bacterium. RNAcentral's name for it is "partial 16S ribosomal RNA". It matches the Rfam family "Bacterial small subunit ribosomal RNA", at positions 524 to 776 of the family's 1533-position model. The record is from RNAcentral.